CAGCCGCCGCGGUAAAACGGAGGGUGCAAGCGUUAAUCGGAAUUACUGGGCGUAAAGCGUGCGUAGGCGGUUCGUUAAGUCUGUUGUGAAAGCCCCGGGCUCAACCUGGGAAUGGCAAUGGAUACUGGCGAGCUAGAGUGUGUCAGAGGAUGGUGGAAUUCCCGGUGUAGCGGUGAAAUGCGUAGAGGUCGGGAGGAACAUCAGUGGCGGAGGCGGCCAUCUGGGACAACACUGACGCUGAGGCACGAAAGCGUGGGGAGCAAACAGGAUUAGAUACCCGCGUAGUCCCUGUCUCUUAUAA
RNAcentral lists this ribosomal RNA (301 nucleotides) under uncultured bacterium. RNAcentral describes it as "partial 16S ribosomal RNA". It matches the Rfam family "Bacterial small subunit ribosomal RNA", at positions 509 to 809 of the family's 1533-position model. The record is from RNAcentral.